AGAGUCUUGCAGAUACCUGUUUUCCUCUUAAUCAAGAAUUGUUUUUGCACCAAUUCUGUGAUGCUCACACUUGUUCAGGGAAAAAAAAGCAUUUUCCUAAAGGUCGCAAGAAGCAAACAAGUGUUAUCUACCUUGCUUUGUCAAUACUGACUUUGAUGCUGCUGCCUCUUUUUUAUCUUAUUGUUUAUUUGUAUCAAAGAGAAAUGAGGCAGGGAACACAAAAUCUGAGACGAAUCACUCGAGUCGGACAAAAGACAAAGCCAUCAUAGUUAACUGGUAAAUUUUUAUGUCUUCUGAUUGAAAAACUCCCUGAUCAAAUCUCCAGGUUGAAAAUAUAUUUAUGGACU
Molecule: unclassified non-coding RNA, 347 nt
Filed under: Hevea brasiliensis (rubber tree)
Lineage: Eukaryota; Viridiplantae; Streptophyta; Magnoliopsida; Malpighiales; Euphorbiaceae
Source: RNAcentral